CUGCAUGGACUUGAAUGAGGGCAAGUGGAAAACCCAGAGCUGGAUGACACAAAAUACACGCAGAGAAUGUCAUCUUUUCUUUGAUGUAGUAAGUUAUUUUUUACAGCCUUUUACAAGUAGUAACCUGCCUACUUCUGACAGGCAUAGGUGGCCUGCAGAGUCUAGAUGAUAAAUGGACAAGGCAAACCAUUCAUAAUUCAUGUGGAGAGCACUUGCACUACAACCAGUAGGGUUAACCACAAUCAGAACGGAACCCUGGAGACCAGACAUGGAAACACAGCACAGCUGGUGGUGCACGAUUCUGAUGAGUGCUAUUCCUAUAUAGCCAGAUUGGAGCCACCACGGCUGGAGACAGCACUGCCAAGAAAGCCUGACCCAUCUAAGUGUUGUGGGACCAAAAGAGAAAACACGUAUACGGCCUGAGAGUCUCUCUGGAACCCAGGGACCUUGUGUCUGCAAUUUUUAGCACUUGCCACCAGAUGGCACAGUGUAGCAAGUAAACACCAACUGACUGCUCCUCAGGAGUCUUACAAGGAGAGUCACACAGAAAAUAGAGGAAGGGACGCAAACACACAGAGGAGAUGGAAAGGUGCACAGGGAGCAGAGAUUUGGGUAAUACAGCCACGUGGAAUGACGGAAGCCACCAGAAGUUGCAAGAGUAAGCAAAGAAUCCCAAACCCUGAUGCCUCAGGGGCGAAGAAGGUAAUCAAAAUGGCAGAAGUGGUUCCAGGAAGAGACACGACUGAGUUCCAGCAGUUGGGUAGCAUUGGAGAUGGACCCAGGUAUUCUCUGUAGAACCUCCCUAGAACCUCAUGAAGAUGUCAAAUGCAACUUGAUAAAGUAUCAAUCUAAAAAAAGCAGAAGCUGGAAGAGCCAAGGUAGGCUAGGGCAGAACUCUUGGAGCAGAGAUGACAACAAUAAACUGAGAACAAUGCUUGUCCUUUAUUAAUGAUCCCAGAGAGACAAGGACAGCACCCUUUACAAAGCCAAUUGGAAGGGGCAUGGAGAGUCAACCAGCAGUUUCUCCCAAACUAAUGGAGUCCCCCUCCAUGCUGAGCUGCCAGGAGCUGGAGGAGAGAUGGCACAAGCAACCAUGUAGCCACCACCACUGGGACUGCACUGGAUCAGACCUGAAGACAACAUGUCACUUGCCCAAGGCCUACAGCAACCACUGCUUGGUAACCACCAAUGUUCCCUCAAGGCCCAGGGGCUCUACAAUCAGCAGCUGGUAAAUCCUAACAGGCUUGUAUCCUUACCUUCAAGACAGUGAGCUCCCCUCUGGCCCAGGGUGGGUCCAGAAAAGCUAUAUGGGAGCCAGGACCUGGAGUUGGGAACCGUAUUAGUCCAUUUUCACACUGUUACCACCUGAGACUGGGUAACUUAUAAACAAACGAGAUUUAAUUGACUCACAGUUCUGAAUACCUGGAGAGACCUUAGGAAACAAGGGGAAGGAAGGUACAUCUUACAUGGUGGCAGGAGGAAGACAGAGUGUGAGGAAGUGCCACACUUUAACAUCAUGAGCUCUUGUGAGAACUCACUCACUAUCAUGAGAAUGGCAUGGGGGAAACUGCCCCCAUGAUCCAAUCACCUCCCACCGGGUCCCUUCCUCGAUAUGUGGGGAUUACAAUUCAAGAUGAGAUUUGGGUGGGGACAUGGAGCCAAACAAUAUCAGAAACCUUAGGGAUCUACCUCGUGCUCUAUUCUACUCUGGUUGAGCUGGCAUCCACACAUCAAGACAAAGUACUUCCCACUCUUCUCUCAUCUUUUCUCAAGCAGAAGAAACCCCUUUCCCUGUGGCCAGCACCACCCCAGGCUGGUGGUGAGCACUGCCUGGCUACUGCACACAGUAGCCUAAGGGCUCUUCAGUCAGCUUGUGAUGAAUGCUGCCAGACCUAAGAAUCUCCUUUCAGGAUAAUGGAUUCCCUCUGGCUUAAGGCACAGCCAUAAAACAUCCUGAGUCAUAUUAGGACAGUCCCCAUUGACUCCUUGAUGAUGGAAACAUACAGUGAAACGAGUCAGGAUUCUGAGUUUCCUGCUUGGAAGAGAGCCACCAAGGAGAGCCACUGACCAGGAACCUCCUCAUGAGACUCUGCAUGAGCAAAAAAUAAAUCUUUGUGGUAUUAAAGCUCUACAACAACUAGGUGAAAUUCAAGAGUGGACAGAAUAGAACCAUGGAGUAUUCAGUGCCAGGGAAAUGGCCAUCAGGAGCCAAGGAACAAGAAACUACUUCUGGAAAGAAGAGGCACACAGGUACCUGUAACAAAGCAAACAAACACAAAAGACUAAAUGUGGAGCCAUUGUCUCAGUCCCACCUGCUUUCACCUAUCUAAGAGCUGAUAAUGACCCAGUUUUUUAAUUUGCUAUUGAUAACUACAAAGAACUGAGUAACUGAGGGGUAAAUUCAGAGACUACAAACAGACAGUUUUCUGGCAGAAGCAUUUACCUGAAACUAACCUUACUUAUGGGGUUAAGAGUAGAAUGGCAGGAGAAAAGAUUGGAUAUCAUCUUCCUGCAUUGCUAAAUAUCAAUAAGCUUAUUUAUUGCAACAUGUUUUGAUCCAAAAUGAUAAUGCAAUAAGUAUCUCCCUUGAAUCUCAAAGGGAAAACAGAAAAUGACAGAUUCCUCUUAAAUUUUUUAUUGUUCUCAGUUUAAUAAUACAUCAACAGAAACAAUUUUUAUGCAUUCAACAUUCAAAUCAUGUCCUUUAAGUCUUUUCAGACUAAAAACUAUAUCUUUGCAAUAUGAGUACUCUAGAGAAUAACAUCAAAAGUUAACAAAAAUGUAUCAGUAUUCCCAAUUUGCAAACAUGGUAUGUAACUAAAGAAAUAUAUUCAGGGUUUUGUCUGUCUGCUUAUUUAUUUGACUGUUUUAAAAUUCAUCUUUAUCUAGUUUCACUUCUUUCAGCAAUAGGCUGAAAGAAGUUUGUUUCCCAUUCUUCUUUGUGACUUGUCAGAGGUUUUAAAGAGUGAUAAUCCAGAAACAAAAGUCAGGGAAAUUAAACACUCUAGCAUUUCAAUGAAGGAUUUAGCAAAUCCCCUUUUAUAAAUGUUUGGAAAUUCUGGCAAUUAAGUAAGAAGUACUAUAGGCUGAAUUUCACCACCAAGACAUUUUUAUAGGUAUUAUACCAAUAGGCAACAUGGUGAAACCCCACCUCUACUAAAAAUAAAAAAAUUAGCUGGGUGUGGUGAUGUAUGCCUAUAGUUCCAGCUGCUUGGGAGGCUGAGGUAGGAGGAUCACUUGAGCCUGAGCAGUUGAGGCUGCAGUGAGCCAUGAUUGUGCCACUGUACUCCAGCCUGGGUGAAAAAACAAGACUCUGUCUCAAAAAAGAGAAAAUAUUAUAGCUAUGCUAUAUUUCAGUCUUUGGGGAUAUUGUUAACAUAUAUCAUGAUUUCUGAUUGUAAAAUAGAUCAUACUUCAUUCAGGAAUCUCAUUAUGUAAAGCAUUUCAAACCACAAAACCAUGUUCUUUAAAGUAGGAAGUUUAUGAGGGGUUUUUGUUUCUUUAUUUUUAUCUUUUUAAAAUCUUAUCUCUGUAAGACAAAAUAAAUGAAAAGAUGUCCCAUGUUCAUGGGUUGAAAAAAAUUAAUAUUGUGAAAAUGUCCAUACUACUCAAAGCAAUCUACAGAUUCAAUGCAAUUUCUAUCUGAAUUUCAAUGACAUUUUUCACAGAAAUCAACAAAAAAAAUUCUAAAAUUCACAUGGAACCCCAAAAGGUCCCAAAUAGCAAAGCAAUCUUCAAGCAAAAAGAAUAAAGCUGAAGAUAUCACAUUACCUAAUUUCAAAAUAUACUACAGAGUUACAGUGACAAUGACAGCAUGGAACUGCCAUUAAAAACAGACAUACAGAACAAUGAAACAAAAUGAAGAGCCCAGAAAUAAAUUGACACAUUUAUAGUCAAUUGUUCUUAGACAAAGUUGUCAAGAACACACAAUGGGGAAAGGACAGUUUCUUCAAUAAAUGGUGUUGGGAAAACUGGAUAUCCAUGUAUAGAAGAGUAAAAUCAGAUCCUCACAUUGCACCAUCUAUAAAAACUGGGUCAAAAUGAUUAGAGACUUAAAUGUAAAAUCUGAAACUAUAAAACUACUAGAAGAUAACAUAGAAAAAACAUCUUAACAUUGGUGUGUGGGCAAAUUUUUUUUGGAUAUGACCCUAAAGGCACAGGCAACAAAAGCAAAAAAUAUACAAAUCAGAUUUCAUCAAACUAAAAAGCUUAUACACAGCAAAGGAAAUAAUUAACAGAGUGAAAAGGCAAUCUAUGGAAUGGGAGAAAAUAUUUACAAACUGAUAAGGGAUUAAUACCCCAAGUCCGUAAGGAACUCACAAAACUCAAUAGCAAGAAAACAACCCAGUUAAAAAGUGGGCAAAGGAGCUGAACAGACAUUUCUCAAAAGAAGACAUACAAAUGACCAAUAGGUAUAUGAAAAAAUGCUCAACAUUUUUGUUGAGCAUUAUUGCAAAAAUCAGAGAAGUUUCUCUAAUGAUCAGGGAAAUGCAAAUUAAAUUCACAAUGAGAUAUCACCUCUCAACUGUUAGAAUGACUGUUAUCAAAAAGACAAAAUAGCAAGUGUUGGUGAGGAUGUGGAGAAAAGAAAACCCUUGUGCACUGUUGGUGAGAGUGAAAAUUGCUAUAGCCAUUACGGAAAACAGUAUAGAGUUUCCUCCAAAAAUUAAAAAUAGCACUACCAUGUGAUUCAGCAAUUCCAUUCUUGGGUAUAGAGCCAAAGGAAAUGAUAUCAAUAUCUCAAAGAGAUAUCUGCACUCCCAUGCUCAUUGCAGUACUAUUCACAGUGGCAAAGAUAGGGAAUCAACCUAAAUGUUCAAUGACAAAUAAAUGGAUAAACAAAAUGUCUCUUAUACAUAUACAAUGGAAUAUUACUCAAACUUAAAAAAGAGGAAGCCGGGCACGGUGGCUCACGCCUGUAAUCCCAGCACUUUGGGAGACCAAGGUGGGUGGAUCACGAGAUCAGGAGAUUGUGACCAUCCUGGCCAACAUGGUGAAACCCUGUCUCUACUAAAAAUACAAAAUUAGCCAGGUGUGGUGGUGCGCACCUGCCGUCCCAGCUACUCAGGAGGCUGAGGCAGGAGAAUCGCUUGAACCCAGGAGGCAGAGGUUGCAGUGACCUGAGAUCAUGCCACUGCAUGCCAACCUAGGUUAUAGAGCGAGACUCCAUCUCAAAAAAAAAAAAAAAAAAAAAAACACCAUGCAAAGUGAAAUAAGUCUAGCACAGAAGGACAAAUACCGCAUGAUCUUACUUUUCUUCACAUCAUCACCAGCACCUGUCUUGUCUUUUUGAUAGCAUUCAUUCUAACAGUGGAAUCUAAAGAAGUCAAGCUUGUAAAAGCAGAGAGUAGAUUAGUGGCUGUCUAGGGGCUGGAGGGUGGGGAAAAUGGGGAGAUGUUGGUCAAAGUGCACAAAGUUUCAGUUAUACAGGAUAAAUAAGUUCUAGAGAUCUAAUGUACAGCAUGGUGACUACAGGUUAUAUCAUUGGGUUGUAUACUUGAAAUUUGCUAAGAGAGUAGCUCUCACCACACACACACACUUACACACAAAAUAGAUAUAACUAUGUGAGAUGAUAUGUAUGUUAAUUAGCAUGGCUGUGGUAAUCAUUUCACAAUGUAUAAAGCAUGUUGUACACUAGACAUAUAUACAAUUUUUAUUUGUCAAUAAUACUUCAAUAAAGCUGAAAAAAAUCCUGUCUCUUAAUUAUUGUAGAGAAAGUUACUGUAGUCUGCUACACAUGGUGAUGGUAUACUUCAUAUAAAGUCUUGGUGGCCAAAUGUUUUCAAUAAGGAUGGAGGAAAGAGGGUUAUGUAGAUCACCACUGAGUGAUCUCUCAGUUUCCUUGUGUGUAGCAUGAUUUGUUCUAAUAAAUUGUAUGUUUUAUAAGGUACCAAUUAUUUUAAAAGCAUUUAAAUGCAAUUGUGCAAAUAUCUGUAGUGUGUCUAAAUAUGUACACUUUUCAAUGAUUUUAUUCUUUUGAAGUUAAAAAGGUCUUAUGUCCAGAAAUAAAUUCAUUCUCAGAUAUUUUUAAUUUCAAAUUUAUUGCUAAUAAAAUUCAAUGAAACAUUUUCUCCAAGCUGCCUUACAUAAACAAUUCCCAUUGAUUAUUUCACUGGAAG
This 6119-nucleotide long non-coding RNA is filed under the name Homo sapiens (human). RNAcentral describes it as "HSALNT0079224". The record is from RNAcentral. Lineage: Eukaryota; Metazoa; Chordata; Mammalia; Primates; Hominidae.